CCACAGCCAAUUAAGCUGACUAUACCCUUCCGCCCUGGGGGUCUGGUGUGUAAUGGUUGCAAACAGUAGCCUCUGUGGUUAGUAUAUGCAGCCUGUUGUUUGUAUUGGUUGCCUUGAGGGGCCUUGGAAACAGUC
This is a small nucleolar RNA of Vulpes vulpes (red fox), 135 nucleotides long. Its record names the gene SNORA70. It matches the Rfam family "Small nucleolar RNA SNORA70". From Rfam's summary of the family: snoRNA U70 seems to be exclusive to mammals and is a member of the H/ACA class of snoRNA which contain H (ANANNA) and ACA box motifs. Lineage: Eukaryota; Metazoa; Chordata; Mammalia; Carnivora; Canidae. The record is from Ensembl.